RNAcentral lists this ribosomal RNA (315 nucleotides) under uncultured eukaryote. RNAcentral describes it as "partial 18S ribosomal RNA". It matches the Rfam family "Eukaryotic small subunit ribosomal RNA", at positions 1470 to 1796 of the family's 1831-position model. The record is from RNAcentral.
CCCUUAGACGUUCUGGGCCGCACGCGCGCUACACUGACCAGUGCAACAAGCAUCCGUCCUUGGCCGACAGGCUCGGGCAAUCUUUGAACGCUGGUCGUGAUGGGGAUAGACUUUUGCAAUUUUUGGUCUUCAACGAGGAAUUCCUAGUAAACGCAAGUCAUCAACUUGCAUUGAUUACGUCCCUGCCCUUUGUACACACCGCCCGUCGCACCUACCGAUUGAAUGGUCCGGUGAAGCCUCCGGAUUGGCGCGCACCUCGGUGCCGCCGAGAAGUUGGCUAAACCUUACCAUCUAGAGGAAGGUGAAGUCGUAACA